GAGAGGGAUGACCCACGGGAUCUUUUAGAUCUGCUUCUCUUGCGUGACUCCUUGGGGGUCUGUGGUAUACUUUC
Molecule: small nucleolar RNA, 74 nt
Filed under: Oryza sativa (Asian cultivated rice)
Lineage: Eukaryota; Viridiplantae; Streptophyta; Magnoliopsida; Poales; Poaceae
Description: box C/D snoRNA J42.1
Source: RNAcentral